Molecule: long non-coding RNA, 282 nt
Filed under: Physcomitrium patens
Lineage: Eukaryota; Viridiplantae; Streptophyta; Bryopsida; Funariales; Funariaceae
Description: long non-coding RNA (PPAT_LNC014347)
Source: RNAcentral
AAAUUGCUCAAGAUAUAGCUUAAGACACAACCACUAGUAAAUCGGUUUACUUACUACCCUUAGAUUGCAUGUGCUGACUUCAAAAUCCAAUAACUCCUUCAUCCCAACUUGGAAUCCAGUAAGUAGUAUGUGAAAAGUAUAGCCGCAAUAGUGCUCUCUCCAGUCGCAAUCACCGUUUCUCAAUUGCUAUCCAUACGCGUGCGUUAUGCCUACAAGAGAGACAAUAGGUCCAAAACUAACACCUUAACUUUGAGCACCUAUAACUUCUUCAUAAAAAUCCCA